GGGAAUAUUGCACAAUGGGGGGAACCCUGAUGCAGCGAUGCCGCGUGGAGGAAGAAGGUUUUCGGAUUGUAAACUCCUGUCGUAAGGGACGCUAAUGCCGGUACCUUACAAGAAAGCUCCGGCUAACUACGCGCCAGCAGCCGCGGUAAUACGGAGGAUGCGAGCGUUAUCCGGAUUUAUUGGGUUUAAAGGGUGCGCAGGCGGACUUCCAAGUCAGCGGUAAAAUCGCGGGGCUCAACCCCGCCCAGCCGUUGAAACUGGGAGUCUCGAGUGGGCGAGAAGUAUGCGGAAUGCGUGGUGUAGCGGUGAAAUGCAUAGAUAUCACGCAGAACCCCGAUUGCGAAGGCAGCAUACCGGCGCCCGACUGACGCUCAUGCACGAAAGCGUGGGUAUCGAACAGG
RNAcentral lists this ribosomal RNA (401 nucleotides) under uncultured bacterium. RNAcentral describes it as "bacterial SSU rRNA". It matches the Rfam family "Bacterial small subunit ribosomal RNA", at positions 357 to 776 of the family's 1533-position model. The record is from RNAcentral.